RNAcentral lists this long non-coding RNA (1306 nucleotides) under Sorghum bicolor (sorghum). RNAcentral's name for it is "long non-coding RNA (SBIC_LNC007780)". The record is from RNAcentral. Lineage: Eukaryota; Viridiplantae; Streptophyta; Magnoliopsida; Poales; Poaceae.
CCUAGGUGAAAAACUUCAGGAUAGAGCUAUAUAUUGUGCACAACUGCAUUUAAAAACAAAAAGGUCUGUAUAGCUCCAUUGCUCGAAACUGUCUUAGCACAAACUAGAGCUAUAGUGAAGUAGAUAGUGCAGACUUGGGCAGCUACAUUGUUAUACUCAUUCAGUUGGUUGAGAAGUACUGCCUUGUCAAUCCAUGUAAUCAAAGCUACACCAAGAAAACAAAAGACCUUGUUUUGGUGCUUCAUCGUUUGAUUGGCAAUGGCCUUAACCUACACAAGACACUAACCUAUUAUCCAAACAAUAAUGUCAGAUUAGACACUAACUUAUUAUCCAAACAAUGCAGUAAUAGUUUCUUUAUUUAUCUCAUGUCCCAUGUUUAUCUCAUGACUAUCGGUCUUCAUUGCCAAAUGUGCAAAUCUAAAACCAAGAAAUUGUGUUAGCAAGAAUGAAACAAUGGCUAUUUCUUGCUAGUACAUUAAAAUUACAACGAUGCAGCAAAUAAAAAUGAAAACUAGUUUUAGCAAAGGGUUAUGGCACUGUGCAAGGUGCCAUGCUCAAUCACACUAUUGGUUGCUACUCCUACAUUGGACUGAUGCAUCAAGGCAAACUAAAGAUAAGUUUCAGUACUGAAUGUAGUUAAAACUAAAGAUUAGUUAUUCAGCGGAUGGCAAUGCCGUGUUGGAUUAGGCGCGCGUUUCCUUGAGCUAUUAGCCCAUAAUUCGAUUGGGACCGCCCCCACGGUCUUUAAGUGACACUACUGAGGCAGUUUCCCAAGCUCUCACAAUCAUUGAGCCAUUCAACUUAUUAUUUUCCAGAAAACAUUUUUAUCUGCAUCAUAACAGUACUUCUUGCAUUUAAAUUUACUGAUGAGUUUAUUUGCAUUAUUAGCUCAUAGCAUUAUUAGGCUCCUUUACAUAGUCAAGAGCAAAGGAUAAAUCAAAUUCUUAAUGAUCAAUGUGUGCCCCCAAACUAAAUAGAUGAUUGCAAUGCUUUAAUUAGUUAUGAUGGUCCCCCUUGCAGCAAUAUAUAAUAAUGGAAAAAUCUCUUUAUACAACAUCGUUAUGCUAUUAUAAACUUUGUGUUUAGGAACUGAUUGCAUAAAUGUAUGCCUAGACCAUCCAAGUUGAACCUUUUGUCGAGGUGAAUCUUGGUGCAUAUUUCUUCUCUUAAACAAAAACUCAACUAGUCCCUUAGAGAAACAUAGAUUACUAUGCUUUGAUAGUUGAAGAGUUGAUUAUUACUAAUUAAAAAGAAUGCUAUGUUGCAAUAAUAUGGUGAUUUGGUGUUCAACACCGAACAUGAAAGG